AUUGAACGCUGGCGGCAUGCCUAACACAUGCAAGUCGAACGGCAGCACGGGUGCUUGCGCCUGGUGGCGAGUGGCGAACGGGUGAGUAAUACAUCGGAACAUGUCCUGUCGUGGGGGAGAGCCCGGCGAAAGCCGGAUUAAUACCGCAUACGAUCUACGGAUGAAAGCGGGGGACCUUCGGGCCUCGCCCUAUAGGGUUGGCCGAUAGCUGAUUAGCUAGUUGGUGGGGUAAAGGCCUACCAAGGCGACGAUCAGUAGCUGGUCUGAGAGGACGACCAGCCACCCUGGGACUGAGACACGGCCCAGACUCCUACGGGAGGCAGCAGUGGGGAAUUUUGGACAAUGGGCGAAAGCCUGAUCCAGCAAUACCGCGUGUGUGAAGAAGGCCUUCGGGUUGUAAAGCGCUUUUGUCCGGAAAGAAAUCCUUGGCUCUAAUACAGUCGGGGGAUGACGGUACCGGAAGAAUAAGCACCGGCUAACUACGUG
Molecule: ribosomal RNA, 486 nt
Filed under: uncultured bacterium
Lineage: Bacteria
Description: partial 16S ribosomal RNA
Rfam family: Bacterial small subunit ribosomal RNA
Source: RNAcentral